RNAcentral lists this ribosomal RNA (645 nucleotides) under uncultured Bacteroidota bacterium. RNAcentral's name for it is "bacterial SSU rRNA". It matches the Rfam family "Bacterial small subunit ribosomal RNA", at positions 28 to 666 of the family's 1533-position model. Lineage: Bacteria; Pseudomonadati; Bacteroidota. The record is from RNAcentral.
GAUGAACGCUAGCGGCAGGCUUAACACAUGCAAGUCGAGGGGCAGCGCGGGGCGGCAACGUCCUGGCGGCGACCGGCGGAAGGGUGCGUAACGCGUGAGCGACAUGCCCGUUGCCCGGGGACAACCGGUGGAAACGCCGACUAAUCCCCGAUGGGACGGAGGCCCUCAUGGGUCUCUGUUGAAAGUUACGGCGGCGACGGAUUGGCUCGCGUCCGAUUAGCUUGUUGGCGGGGUAACGGCCCACCAAGGCUACGAUCGGUAGGGGUUCUGAGAGGAAGGUCCCCCACAAUGGAACUGAGACACGGUCCAUACUCCUACGGGAGGCAGCAGUGAGGAAUAUUGGUCAAUGGGCGGAAGCCUGAACCAGCCAUGCCGCGUGCGGGAAGGAGGCCCUAUGGGCUGUGAACCGCUUUUGCCUGGGGGCAAUAAGGGCGUCGGGCACGUCCGAUGAGAGUACCAGGGGAAUAAGCAUCGGCUAACUCCGUGCCAGCAGCCGCGGUAAUACGGGGGAUGCGAGCGUUAUCCGGAUUCAUUGGGUUUAAAGGGUGCGUAGGCUGUGCGUCAAGUCAGGGGUGAAAUUCCGGGGCUCAACUCCGGGGCUGCCCUUGAUACUGUCGCGCUGGAGUGCGGAUGCCGCCGGAGGAA